This 304-nucleotide long non-coding RNA is filed under the name Durio zibethinus. RNAcentral describes it as "long non-coding RNA (DZIB_LNC002005)". Lineage: Eukaryota; Viridiplantae; Streptophyta; Magnoliopsida; Malvales; Malvaceae. The record is from RNAcentral.
UAGUAUAUAGUCAUGCAUAUAACCACAAUACCAAUCAUACAUGAUAUUCAAAAAAUAGUUAUACAUACAAUCUUUUUUGCCAUUUUUUUGUUUGUUUCAUCUGUAAAGGAUCCAUUUUUUCGUAAAUGUCCUUGUUUCCAGAUAUCCCAUCUGAAAACUUCAGUGCUAAAGCUCACUGAUUCCUAUUAAAUUAUCGUAAUAUAAGAAUCAGAAUGUAUGAAAUGAAUGUUCAUAAAUAUUCAUUAAUGAGUAUAAAACAAGUGUGUGAAUACAUACAAGCUCAUACUUCACAUUUGCAUAUCCC